RNAcentral lists this long non-coding RNA (466 nucleotides) under Vigna radiata. RNAcentral's name for it is "long non-coding RNA (VRAD_LNC014645)". Lineage: Eukaryota; Viridiplantae; Streptophyta; Magnoliopsida; Fabales; Fabaceae. The record is from RNAcentral.
UCCGUAUAUAAUCCAAAUAUUAUAUACGGAUUUUCCGUAUGUAAGGGAGAAAGUUUUAUAUACGGAUUAUCCGUAUGUAAGAUCGGUAUGUAAUGGGGAAGAUAAAAUUAUCUACUGAUUUUAAAUACGGAUAUUAAGUGUAGUUAUAAUUAAAAAAUUAUCUUUAGUAAUUAAAAAAUAAGAUAGUUCAGAUUCUCACUUUCGACUCUUCUCACUUCUGCCCCUUUCUCUUCUCACUCUCGAGCCCACCUUCUCCCUGCAUUGUCACUCCUAGUUUGCAUAGUCGUUCUCCGUGAUCUAAAGUAGUCUGCAACCACAAUGGUCCGUGAGCCGACAGUCGUUGUCCUUCACUGAAACUGUAACCUCGCAGUCGUUUUCCCUCGUGUCACGGGAACCCUCUUUUUCCUUCUGCCGAACCACCAUCCUCCCCCAUUGGAACCGUAGUUGCUCUGGUUGUCCUCGUACU